AAAAGUCACUCAUAGACGUUGGUACUACAGUUUAACAGUAAGUAACCCAUGUGCCUCCAUAGUAUCUUUUAGGCUUAAAUUAUAUCAUUCUAAAAGUAUAUUAAUUUUAAUAAUUAUUAAAAUUUAAUUUUAAUUAAGUAAUUUAAUAAUUUUAAUAACUGCUGGAAUCUAACAUUGAAAUUUCCUGAAUAAAAUUUGACCCCUAGAAUAUAAACAGAUUUUUUAAAAAAUGAAUUUUGAAGAGUAUUUUUUUUUUUAAAUUAAGAUUAGAGUAUAGCAUACAGGCUUGUUCUAGCUCUAAAAUUCCCAGGCUCUAGGACUGUUUUUUGUAAAAAAAAAAAUAUACUUGAAGCUUGUCUUUUUUGAAUUAGUAGUUGUAACUAUAGAGUUAAUGGAAAAGAUCUUAAUUAUUAGUUUCAUGUUGUCAUUAGUUAUAUGUUUCAAAGUAUAAUUUUAAAUAAUAUUAGAGCAUAAUGUAGAAAAUAGUAUACCCCUACCUUUAAAUGGCAUUAUAUUGAAGAUACACAGUAAAAAUUUAGAAAUAAAUGGAAUAAUCUUUUAAAAAUCAACUCCUUUUAAG
RNAcentral lists this long non-coding RNA (580 nucleotides) under Homo sapiens (human). Its description in RNAcentral is "HSALNT0364165". Lineage: Eukaryota; Metazoa; Chordata; Mammalia; Primates; Hominidae. The record is from RNAcentral.